Molecule: ribosomal RNA, 440 nt
Filed under: uncultured bacterium
Lineage: Bacteria
Description: partial 16S ribosomal RNA
Rfam family: Bacterial small subunit ribosomal RNA
Source: RNAcentral
CCUACGGGAGGCAGCAGUGAGGGAUAUUGGUCAAUGGGGGAAACCCUGAACCAGCAACGCCGCGUGAGGGAAGACGGUUUUCGGAUUGUAAACCUCUGUCCUCUGUGAAGAUAAUGACGGUAGCAGAGGAGGAAGCUCCGGCUAACUACGUGCCAGCAGCCGCGGUAAUACGUAGGGAGCAAGCGUUGUCCGGAUUUACUGGGUGUAAAUGGUGCGUAGGCGGUAUGUCAAGUCAAGGGUGAAAUCCCCGCGCUCAACGUGGGAACUGCCUUUGAAACUGGCAAACUGGAGUGUGUGAGAGGAUAGUGGAAUUCCAGGUGUAGGAGUGAAAUCCGUAGAUAUCUGGAGGAACAUCAGUGGCGAAGGCGACUAUCUGGCACAUAACUGACGCUGAGGAGCGAAAGCGUGGGUAGCAAACAGGAUUAGAUACCCCAGUAGUC